AGUGAACGCUGGCGGUAGGCCUAACACAUGCAAGUCGAACGGCAGCACAGUAAGAGCUUGCUCUUACGGGUGGCGAGUGGCGGACGGGUGAGGAAUACAUCGGAAUCUACUUUUUCGUGGGGGAUAACGUAGGGAAACUUACGCUAAUACCGCAUACGACCUACGGGUGAAAGCAGGGGAUCUUCGGACCUUGCGCGAUUGAAUGAGCCGAUGUCGGAUUAGCUAGUUGGCGGGGUAAAGGCCCACCAAGCCGACGAUCCGUAGCUGGUCUGAGGGGAUGAUCAGCCACACUGGAACUGAGACACGGUCCAGACUCCUACGGGAGGCAGCAGUGGGGAAUAUUGGACAAUGGGCGCAAGCCUGAUCCAGCCAUACCGCGUGGGUGAAGAAGGCCUUCGGGUUGUAAAGCCCUUUUGUUGGGAAAGAAAAGCAGCAGGUUAAUACCCCGCUGUUCUGACGGUACCCAAAGAAUAAGCACCGGCUAACUUCGUG
This 492-nucleotide ribosomal RNA is filed under the name uncultured bacterium. RNAcentral describes it as "partial 16S ribosomal RNA". It matches the Rfam family "Bacterial small subunit ribosomal RNA", at positions 29 to 507 of the family's 1533-position model. The record is from RNAcentral.